CACACCUCACGUAGUAGCUCUUUCUCCUGAUGCUUCUAUGUUUUAAUCUCCUGUCUCGCUUAACGUCUGUUUUUACUUUCCAGUUGAGCGUCAUUUCAUUCCUGGGAAUUAAGAAAUGGCGAGGCCAAGACAUCAUUGCCAAGCUCACAAGCCUGUGGUAUUCAUGUGGGCAUUCCGGAGAGCUGCAGCAAACUUAAGACGGAAACCCAGACAGCUGAAGAGGAAAGGGAUAAGGCACAGAGUUACUGAUCAGCCCAGAGACCUCCACCAGUCAGGCCUUACAAAGGAUGACUACUCGCCUGGAGCUGCAAUUAUUCAUCCUUCAUAAACAGAGAUCGCUUCUCAGAAUUGUUAACAUUGCUUCUGUUAGUCUUUAAACAAAGCGGUCUGUUUAUAAGUUAGGAACAUUAAAAAAAAAAGUCAUCCACCUUGUAUUGUUUAAAAAAAAAAAAAAAAGAAGAAGUCUGCACACACUCGAUACCAAACUGAAAAGGAAUGGAGAAGAGAUGGAGGCAUAGCCUGAGACCCACAUGGGUUUUUAACUGGCUAAGUUCAAUUUUCUCUUUCAAGGCUGUAGUAGCCAUUUUAAAUAUUUAAACAUUAACAUAAAUACCACACAAACAUCAAAGCGUUCUGGGGAGGAGGUCAUGCCAUUAUUUACCCAAAUGCUCAAGUCUCUGAGGGAGGGCACCUUGGGUUUCAGCUUGGGCUCAGGUGCUGGGCUCACUUUCUCUUUUUUUAUCUUCUAGACGCCAGAGUCCAAGCAUUAAAAGGUAAGGAGAGUCCAGCAAGAUAAAAGAGUUAACCCUUCUUUUUUAAGUGACCUUCUUGGGAGGAUACCAACUUUUCCGCCCCCCAGAUUUAGAAUCCACUUCCAAAUGAUACAACUGGAAUUUAAUUCCCCAAAAGAACAACUUUUGCAAAGGAACCUUUAUCCCAUUUAGUAUAGCUUUGAGCUCUAGAGGAAGGCGAGCCAUCUGACUUACCCUGCAUGAGGAUCUGUAGUACUGAUUACCACCAGUUCUGAUAUGUCCAACUCCAGUAGACUUAAGAUCUGCAUCGUCCAUAUCAUUGACUUGGCCACCUCGUUACAUAUGUGGGGGCAGGCGUAUUUGGUACCGCAGAAACAAAGGUGAACAGAUUGCCAGUAAGACUGAUCACUAUAGCCUCAAGUUUAGGCUGAAAAAAUAGCCUCCCUUGAUUUCUCUGCCCUCAGAUUGCCCUAGUUUCCAUUCCGCCUCCCAAUCUAGCUGACAUAUUUCAGCCACAGUUUCCAUUAUAGAAGUUUAAUCAUGUGGCCCACCUCUACUGCCAGCCUCAUUAAAAAG
Molecule: long non-coding RNA, 1328 nt
Filed under: Bos mutus (wild yak)
Lineage: Eukaryota; Metazoa; Chordata; Mammalia; Artiodactyla; Bovidae
Description: lncRNA (ENSBMUG00000012355.1)
Source: RNAcentral